GCCAGUGUGGUGUAGUGUUUUGAGCAUUACACUUCAACCCUGGAGAUCAGGGUUCAAUUCUCUGCUUGAGCA
Molecule: non-coding RNA, 72 nt
Organism: Phrynosoma platyrhinos (Desert horned lizard)
Lineage: Eukaryota; Metazoa; Chordata; Lepidosauria; Squamata; Phrynosomatidae
Source: the annotation of a GenBank genome assembly